This is a long non-coding RNA of Ctenopharyngodon idella (grass carp), 4585 nucleotides long. RefSeq lists it as uncharacterized. The transcript is spliced from 3 exons. NCBI's taxonomy places the organism in Eukaryota, Metazoa, Chordata, Actinopteri, Cypriniformes, Xenocyprididae. The record is from RefSeq and is a predicted model, not a curated record.
UGAUGUGGUUUGGGAUUGAUAAAAUGUGUUUGGAAAAAUAAUUUGAUCAGAAUAUCAAUUUACCUUAUAAUUAUGAACACACUGUAAAGUAUUAAGUGGUGCUUUUGGUAUGGUUUGUGUGAAUGCCUUGGUUUCUGUAUCAACAGCAGCUGAAGAACAGAGCUGAGCCAAAAUAGUCCCUCUGUCUCCUUCUGGAAGUACAGGUCAGCAGUUUUCAUCCCUCCAGGAUAACAACAUGAUGAGGUGUCAUACACAUCCGUGGGGUCUGAAACACAGGGACCGGAUGCAAGGAAGAUGCUGAGCUCUGUAGUAGAUUCAUCUUCAAUGAGAGUGACAGAUUACAACAACAUAAUCCCUCCCUGAUGACCCGAGGUCAGGCCUGCACUUCAACACACUAAGUUCAGGUUAGUUCAUUUCACUAUCACAACACUUGUGGAGGUUUACAGGAUUAACAUUGUAUCCAGACCACAAGAUGUAGAGCAAAAUUGGACCGUUGCUUUAAAAAGUCAAAGUUUCCUCAUUUGUUUUCUAAUCCAUCUCAACUAAGGUCUGAGGGAAGAAUAUAGUCAUUUUAUCCUUAUAAACUGUUUUGAAUGUGUCACUGGAUCAUUUGAUCUCAUGAAAGUGGACGGCCCUGUACAGUAUCUUUCUCUCUGGUUUUUGAGAAAAGAAAAUGUGCAGUAAUCACGUGACCACAUCAGACUGACCAUCAAAUGGAAGAAAACUUCUCGCUGUCCGCCAUCAAAUCUCAUCCUGCUUUUCUGAGCCAGAGAUGGGACAGAAGUAGGUCAGCAUCACAUCUACCUCCUCUCCUGUUAAUCUGUAAUUCGUAGAGUGGCUCUUAAUUGCUCUUCAAUCUUUACACGUCAUGCAGGAGCAGCUGCAGAGGGAGGGGCUGCGGCGAUGCUCUUUAAGGAGCACAGGCUGCAUUAGCAGGCUAGGCAAAUCCCUUUCUGUCUAAGUGAGCAGCAGAGAUGGAUUAGAUCUGAUCAGAGAGAGGCCAGCAGUGCAGAAACAGAAUUAGAAAAGCUCAAGCCAUAACAGAGGACCACAGUGCUGGAGAGGUAGCAUCGCCAUCUGACAUAUGACUAGGGGAAUGUUAGGUUAUUGAUUUCAGUAAUAUUUUGUAUUUGUCUGAGUAGAUUGUGGAGUGACAUUAGAUAUAGCAAUCGCAUAGACCUGUUAAGUAGAAUCUACAAAAUAUUAACUUGGUUAACAACAAAAACAAAAACAACAUAAUUUAGUAUGAUUUAUAAGCUGUUUUUUCUCAUGGUAACCAAAAAAUGCCCCCACAAAAUAAAAAAUGUCUGGUAUUACUAUUCUUGUGGGGAAAUUUGGGCCCCACAAUGUAGGGUUUAUCAGGGUUAUGCAUACACGCAUGUUUGUUUUGGUCUUUAUUCUAGACUUGCUAUAGACUUCUGUUGUUUUUAUGCUGACAUAAUGGUAUUUUCUAUCCCCUAACCAUACCCCAAAACCAAAAAGCAUCAUUGAGUAUAUUUUUAUUAAUUCAUUUCCCUCAUGGGGACCGUGGGCCGGUCCCCAGAAUUUAGGUGAUCUCAGGUUUUAUUAUCCUUGUGAGGCCAUUUGGUCCACACAAUGGAGGCUACAUCUGUACACACUCAUACAUGUGUCGUCAGAAUUAUUGGCACCGUUGGUAAAUAUGAUCAAAGGCGGCUGUGAAAAUAAAUCUGUAUUGUUUAUCCUUUUGAUCUUUCAUGCAAAAAAUGAGCAAAAAUCUAACCUGGUGCAGAUUUAUUUUCACAGGCUUCUUUGUUCAUAUUUACCAAGGGUGCCAAUAAUUCUCUCCACGACUGUAUGUGUGUAGUACACUCUACUAAUAUUCACAAAUCCAGUUUGGAGUUGUUAAGAGUUUUAUUUAUUUAUUUAUUAAAAUAAGUCUCUUAUGCUUAUCGCUACUGGGAAUGUUUAACUCAAAACUGAGAGGAAUAUACUGGGAAUGUUUAACUCAAAACUGAGAGGAAUACACAGGUCACACAACACAGCAACGUAAAACAAUGAUGUAAUGGUAUUAACAUGCGUUAAAGCCCUUAAUAAUAUGAAGAGUCCUGGGGAGUGAACACACACACAUAUGUUUGUUUCACUAUAUUAGUGAGGACCAUUAAAAAUGUCAUAAUAUUUCACACGCACGCAGCACAGGUAAGAAUUCAGGUUAGGCUUGUGAACAGGAUAACGCUGGAGAGCAGGUAGCUCUAAGUAUCAUAUGGGGUUGCUGGAGUACAGGUAAGUAAUUUAGAAGAUCACUGGAGAUAAGGUUAGCAUUUAACAAAGAUGAAUACGUUUUCCACAUUGGAGACCAGACUUCAAACGAGCUCUGUUAUCAGCCCCACAGUUGAAAAUGAAACCAUGUCCGUACCGGCUGGGCCAGAUCAGCACGGAAUGGACCAGUUAAGCAAUGAGAACAGUUUGGCCCGAUGGUGGAAAAGCAGCUGAAGACUGAGGAGUAUGAGGGACUUAUAAAGGAAGGCUGAUUGGCGUGAUAAUGGGCUGCAGCCUGUCAGUGGCAUGAAGGCUCUGGUAGCAGAACCAGUAAUAAUUUCUGAACUGGGAUACCACUGUCUCCAGAGGGUCCCACCGAGUCCUCAAAGCUCUGCUCAGAACGGUUCCAAAUAACAGCCAUGUAAUCACCUGCGACCUGACCGGACUAGCAGAGCUCUUUCUAUUUCCCCAGUUGUUUGAAGCUGUCAAGGCCUGGAGCUUUUAGAGCUUUUAGAUGAGUGUGAGAAAAGGAGGGAUAAUCAUUCUCUCCAGGGCUAGUGUACUUGAAAUUCUGACUGUUGAGGAGCUGGUGGCAAAUAGGAGCGCUGUCUGGAAUGGGCCAGUAAUUCAUCAUUAAUCUGACUCAAUCAAAAAUGGAAUGAUGUGUGUAGUUUCUGACUGACUGUUUCACCACUAUCCAUGAUAAUGAUCAGAAAACUUUGUCAGUAUCUAUUCUCAAGCAUUUUAAUACAAUAAUAUUGAAAGGGGGUGUAUCCUUCUAGGGAGAUUCUCCAUGCCAUUGCUCUCUUGUUGUUUAAAGGCACAAUUCUUUGUAAAUAUUUUCAAUAUUUUCUAUAUUUUAAUAAUAUUUUCUUUGUUCAAUGAUAAUAUAAAGGCCAGUUAAUUUACGUAGCACAAAAUGUAUUUAAAAUAUAUUGCAUAAUAUUUUUUUCUUACAUUAAUAAAUGGGUCUGUUUACAUGAAAAAGAUCUGCCUUAAUGUAAGCAUGUCCCUUGCUAGGGUAUUAUUAUAUUUGGGGGUCCCUGCCAUAAAAACGUUUAAAACCUAACUAUAAACUAUAAAAAUUUCACAGUUUGGAGAGGUGUUUUCCUCUAUUAUGACCAAUUGUUUGCAUACUUAUAUCCCUGAUUUCCUCCGCGGCAUAUCUUUGACAUUAUUCAUUAAUGCAGUGGAAGUAUCCUUGCAGAUGAUGUGGGCUGCGAGUCUCUGAAUUAUUGAAAUAAAUUAAGAUGCAGCACAGAUGUGAAGUGUGCCGUAUGUGUGUUUAUCUUAGUGUGUGGACCAGGAUGUGGGUAUUUGGCUACAUUAAUAUUAAUAAUGUUUUUCCCCUUCUUUCUCACACACACACCCUGCAUUUCAGCUCACACAUGCCUUAUCGGUAUGAAAGUGAAGAUAAAAAAGCGUAGCUGCCAAAAUUCAUAGAUAAAAAAGAUCAAAGCCAAAAAUACACAUCACAGCUGACAGUGAACACUAAACUUCAGAAAAGCUCAAAGACGCUCUGCCCAGAGACUUCAUUUGCCCCUUACAUUCAGUCAUAUUUGUGUAACAGCUACAAGCUUGUCUUCACUUAUUGCCUGAGUAUGUGCCAUCAGCAUCCCUAUAGUGGUGAAUAGAGAACGAGAAUUAAAGAGAGAGCAGUGUAAAUUAAAGCUCAUUUGCUAAUGGUCCUAUCCUCACCCUGAGAGCAGCUGGGGGCGGUAAAUCAGGUGCUGCUGCACUGCAGCGUCAUUGCUGCAGUCACCACUGCUUUAUGGGCCUAUCCGAAUGCCAGUUUGGCACACGGCAUAUCCGCAACUGUGAGAUAGAAAAAGAAAAGAACUGCCGUUGUAAGUGCCGGGCACUUUGCAGCAUCAUUAAGCAUCUCAGCAGGAUGUGAGGGAUGAGAGAGAGAAAGCCGGAAAGAGAAGGAUGCCUGAGUUCAUCUCUACAAUCUCCCACAUGACAAGUUUUUACUGUCACAUGCAGAUGCAGGCCUUCAAAAUUUCCUUUCAUCUUUUUUUAACCCUCUUGAACUCAUCUACCAAGAGAUUUUAUAGCAGGGGGUCAGUCUGUGUGCUGUGAGACAUGAUAUCCUGCACCCUACAGCUGUGAGACCAUAUGGAGCAUCUUCAGGGCACAACAUGGAAUCUGUCUAAAAGCCCUUUAUUAAAAUCACUGCCUUCUUAUCAACUGCUAGGUGUAAAGAGUACCUGAAAACCAUACUUGAGUAAAAGUACAGAUACCUUACAGUGAAAAUGACUCUAUUUCAAGUUACAAGUCACCAAUUCCAAUACAACAGUACUGAAGUAUUUUACUCUUACUGAAUGUAAGCUCAAAGACGCUCUAGUGCUCAAACACCUAAGAGACA